AAUCCUGCACGACCCACCAAUUCUUAACGGAUUGGCAAGCGUUGAGUCGGAAAGGAUGAGAACCGUCAAGGUUCGAGUCGAGCGCAAGUGAGACAACAUCACGUAGUGAUGGCCCGAAGGGCAAGGCGCAAGCCGCGUCAUCCUGCACGA
Molecule: small RNA, 150 nt
Filed under: Serratia odorifera DSM 4582
Lineage: Bacteria; Pseudomonadati; Pseudomonadota; Gammaproteobacteria; Enterobacterales; Yersiniaceae
Description: RtT RNA
Rfam family: RtT RNA (bases 53-144)
About the family: This family represents a bacterial cis-regulatory element known as RtT RNA. The exact function of RtT is unknown although it is thought that it may be involved in changing the cellular response in relation to amino acid starvation.
Source: RNAcentral